UACGGAGGAUGCAAGCGUUAUCCGGAAUGAUUGGGCGUAAAGCGUCCGCAGGUGGUUAAGAAAGUCUGUUGUUAAAGCGUGAGGCUUAACCUCAUAAGGGCAAUGGAAACUGUUUGACUAGAGUACGUUCGGGGCAAGGGGAAUUCCCAGUGUAGCGGUGAAAUGCGUAGAGAUUGGGAAGAACACCGGUGGCGAAAGCGCCUUGCUAGGCCGUAACUGACACUGAGGGACGAAAGCUAGGGGAGCGAAUGGG
Molecule: ribosomal RNA, 253 nt
Filed under: uncultured bacterium
Lineage: Bacteria
Description: partial 16S ribosomal RNA
Rfam family: Bacterial small subunit ribosomal RNA
Source: RNAcentral